Non-coding RNA from Pelobates cultripes (western spadefoot toad), 637 nucleotides. NCBI's taxonomy places the organism in Eukaryota, Metazoa, Chordata, Amphibia, Anura, Pelobatidae. The record is from the annotation of a GenBank genome assembly.
CUUAGAGUUUCCCAGCUAAUCCACAGUUUGCAGGGUCAUACACAAACAACAAAAUCAUGUUAGCAAGAUGGACAGGUAGAAGCCAGGGACAAUAUUAGGUCAUGGAACCAGUGGUGUAUUUAGGAUUUGUGCUGCCCUAGGCAGGACGGUGCUCGGGCACCCCCCUCAUUAACAUUUUCCCCACCCCUUCCUGUCAAGGCCGCACAUUGACUGACAGACGCACUCUCACUGACAGACACACACACUCACUGAUAGAUGCAUACACUCAUUGACAGACACACACUCUCAAAUACACUGACACACAAUGACAUACACACACACACACUCACUGAUUUGACACACUGAUAGACAGACACACACUAUUACUCGGACACACACUGACAGACUCACACUCACUGGCAGACUCACUGACAGACGCACACUCUCACUGACAGACACAUGCACUCACUGACCGACACACAAACAUUCACUGAUCGACACACACACACAUUCACUGACAGACGCACACUCUCACUGACAGACGCACACACACACACUCACUGACUGACACAUACACACAUUCACUGACAGACACACACAUUCACCCACAGACACACACAUUCACUUAGACACACACAUUCACUCACAGACACACACA